CCUACGGGAGGCAGCAGUAAAGAAUCUUCCACAAUGGACGAAAGUCUGAUGGAGCGACACCGCGUGCAGGAUGAAGGCCCUUGGGUCGUAAACUGCUUUUUUGGGGGAAAAAUUCUGAUUGUACCCUAAGAAUAAGCACCGGCAAAUCACGUGCCAGCAGCCGCGGUAAU
Molecule: ribosomal RNA, 170 nt
Filed under: uncultured bacterium
Lineage: Bacteria
Description: partial 16S ribosomal RNA
Rfam family: Bacterial small subunit ribosomal RNA
Source: RNAcentral